GAAAACAAUGACAGCAACUUUUUUUACUUUCUUUUUUACACCCCCACUCUAGGAGGCGGAUUUACUGUGUAAAAACGAAAGUAAAAAUCCAAAGCCUCCCAAAUGGGAGGCUUUUUUGUC
Shewanella putrefaciens CN-32 is the source of this 120-nucleotide non-coding RNA. Lineage: Bacteria; Pseudomonadati; Pseudomonadota; Gammaproteobacteria; Alteromonadales; Shewanellaceae. The record is from Rfam.